GAUGAACGCUGGCUACAGGCUUAACACAUGCAAGUCGAGGGGAAACGACGGGGAAGCUUGCUUCCCCGGGCGUCGACCGGCGCACGGGUGAGUAACGCGUAUCCAACCUGCCUCUGACUGAGGGAUAACCCGUCGAAAGUCGGCCUAAUACCUCAUGGCAUCGUCUGCGGGCAUCCAACGACGAUUAAAGAUUUCAUCGGUCAGAGAUGGGGAUGCGUCUGAUUAGCUUGUUGGCGGGGUAACGGCCCACCAAGGCGACGAUCAGUAGGGGUUCUGAGAGGAAGGUCCCCCACAUUGGAACUGAGACACGGUCCAAACUCCUACGGGAGGCAGCAGUGAGGAAUAUUGGUCAAUGGGCGAGAGCCUGAACCAGCCAAGUAGCGUGCAGGAUGACGGCCCUAUGGGUUGUAAACUGCUAUUAUGCGGGGAUAAAGUGAGGGACGUGUCCUUCAUUGCAGGUACCGCAUGAAUAAGGACCGGCUAAUUCCGUG
RNAcentral lists this ribosomal RNA (491 nucleotides) under uncultured bacterium. Its description in RNAcentral is "partial 16S ribosomal RNA". It matches the Rfam family "Bacterial small subunit ribosomal RNA", at positions 28 to 507 of the family's 1533-position model. The record is from RNAcentral.